AUCCUGGGGAUCUCUGCAUCAGCUGGAAAAGGACAACAUGCUGGGCAGUUCCUUCUACAUGUGUGGGGUGUCAGGCACCACCUGGUGCAUGUCAUCCCUGUACAGCGAUCCAGAUUGGUCAUUGAAUAAGCAUUGUGAUGAGGUGAUAAAGAAGCUGAAGGGUCCUAAAGUGAACUUGAGCAAGAUUGUGAAGUGGCUGAAAUUGAGGAAAGAAGAAAACCAGGACUUCAACCUCACUGACUUCUGGGGCGCCUUCACUGCCUCCUAUUUCAUGAAAGAGAUGAACACUCGCUGUCUCUCUGAAGAAGCUCACAGGAACCACACCAACCCCUAUCCCAUCUACAGCGCCAUAGAACUGGAGCACAAAAAACUGGGCUGCACUAAAGCGGUGUGGUUGAGAU
Oncorhynchus gorbuscha (pink salmon) is the source of this 401-nucleotide long non-coding RNA. RefSeq lists it as uncharacterized. The record is from RefSeq and is a predicted model, not a curated record. NCBI's taxonomy places the organism in Eukaryota, Metazoa, Chordata, Actinopteri, Salmoniformes, Salmonidae. The transcript is spliced from 4 exons.